Molecule: long non-coding RNA, 391 nt
Filed under: Lactuca sativa (garden lettuce)
Lineage: Eukaryota; Viridiplantae; Streptophyta; Magnoliopsida; Asterales; Asteraceae
Description: long non-coding RNA (LSAT_LNC001955)
Source: RNAcentral
AAUGAAGAAGAAGAGAGCAGGAACAUCACUUAAAGCACAAGUGGAAGAAAAGAAACCCAAAGUCACAGUUAAACAUGAGACAUCUGAGGAGGAAGAAUCAGAAGGUGAAGAAGAAACACAAGUAGUUGAAGAAGUAGAGGAAGAAGAAGAAGAAGUUGAAGAGGUAGAGGUUGAAGAAGAAGAGGAAGAAGAGGAUGAGGAAGAAGAAGAGGAGGAGGAGGAAGAAGAAGAAGAGGAAGAUGAAGAAGAAGAUGAUGAGAGUUCUAAAAAGGAGACUCUUAAGAAGCUUUUAGAGCCAUUAUCAAAAGCCAAGAUCAUCGAUUUCAUCAAAGAAGCAGCUCUGAGUGACACUUCAAUAAUGGCUACCCUCACCCAGACUGCUGAGGUGGAC